Molecule: long non-coding RNA, 987 nt
Organism: Engraulis encrasicolus (European anchovy)
Lineage: Eukaryota; Metazoa; Chordata; Actinopteri; Clupeiformes; Engraulidae
Exons: 2
Source: RefSeq, a predicted model, not a curated record
AACACUUUGCAUGUUUUUUGUAUACUUGUCCCCUUUGUGUAUUGCUGCUAAUCUUUCUCUUUCUAGGUUCUGUUGGUUGCAUGCAGAUUGUGCCAGAUGAUUUAUCUGUCUAUGGUCUAAGCAUGGGCUCUGUGCUAAUAUGCAAUUUGUGCUCUUUUUUCCCUCAGGUCAACAGCAGACAGGGUCCUUCCACAACCACAUACUUAUGCCAGUAAAAGCCACAGCUUUUCUCCUCCAAUCCAAGAAGCCUGGACUGCAGUCACCAUCUCAACACACCAACCAAGAGAAAGGCAGAUGGCUCAAUUCAGUAUGUAGUUCUGCAAAUAUUCUCAAAGGUCUUCACAGCCCCCCAUGGUGCUGAAUGCAUUUACAUUUAUUUGUGUAAGGUAAAAACAAUGCUGAUUACAGAACAUAACUAGGGCCAUGAAUGAAAUUUGAGGUAGCAGCCAGUCAUCACCUGAUGGUGAGAGGUGGUCCUAAGAUCAGAGAGAAGCAGGUUGAAAUCCCAUCCUUACCUCUCCCUACCUACACCUCCAUCCACAGCUGAAGUGCACUUGAGCAAGGCACACAAGUCCACUUAGGUCCUGGGACUGUAGCCAACACCCUGUAAAACCCUGCUGUGUAAUUUGAUGUAAUGAAGCCCUAAUAUAGUCUAACACAUUGCUUGUUACAGAUAUGGAAAAUUGCACAAUAAAAGUUCCAGGACAUGAAGGCUGCAUACUGUGAACGUCAACCUUCAGGGCACCGUCCUGCGCAGAAGACUUUCUACCCUAAGAGGGAUGGCUGACCGCAGACACUCACAACCAGCACAGACGCCUCCAACCUCAGACUAGGCCCUUCACAGUUGCUGCACUUACCCACCUUCCCAGAGUUUUUGUGUGGUAAUGACAACUGUAAAUAUAGUAUAAAGUAAUGUAUCUAGUGUCAUGUGUAAUACAUUGUUUAAAUUGUCCAUACAUUUCAAUGACAGUAAAUAUUGGUGGACAC